RNAcentral lists this long non-coding RNA (340 nucleotides) under Phoenix dactylifera (date palm). RNAcentral describes it as "long non-coding RNA (PDAC_LNC019785)". The record is from RNAcentral. Lineage: Eukaryota; Viridiplantae; Streptophyta; Magnoliopsida; Arecales; Arecaceae.
CUUUUUGUGAGUUUGUGCCAAUGCAGAAAAUAUUUCAAUUUAAGUGCCAAGAACAAAACCAAUGAAAACUUUUGAAAACUUAGUGUUGGAAACAACAUCUUUAGAUUUAGAAAUUGAUUUUUGUUUGUUUCCUUAGUUAACAUGCAUAGUAAACUUUGACCUUUCAGAAGAUACUCUAAGUAACCCAAUGGCAAGGUCUUUUGAGAUUAAGUACACACUAGCAUGAGUUAAUUUUAUAUCCCAAAGAUGGUUUCUUUAAUCUUGGUAUUCAUAGUGCAUAUAUUCAAAGGCAUACCAAGUGCACAUUUUCAUAUCUAUGAUCGAUAAACAAUAAUGCCAU